UGACUGCCUCAUCUCCUCCAGCUCUGU
Molecule: non-coding RNA, 27 nt
Filed under: Mus musculus (house mouse)
Lineage: Eukaryota; Metazoa; Chordata; Mammalia; Rodentia; Muridae
Source: RNAcentral